RNAcentral lists this small RNA (32 nucleotides) under Arabidopsis thaliana (thale cress). RNAcentral's name for it is "ATSL048230". The record is from RNAcentral. Lineage: Eukaryota; Viridiplantae; Streptophyta; Magnoliopsida; Brassicales; Brassicaceae.
UACGGCGGCGAGGUUUGAUACGACGGCGACGA